AGUAGUCAUUCAGGAGCAGGUUGUUCAGUUUCCAUGUAGUUGAGCGGUUUUGAGUGAGUUUCUUAAUCCUGAGUUCUAGUUAGAUUGCACUGUGGUCUGAGAGACAGUUUGUUAUAAUUUCUGUUCUUUUACAUUUGCUGAGGAGUGCUUUACUUCCAAGUAUGUGGUCAAUUUUGGAGUAGGUGUGGUGUGGUGCUGAAAAGAAAGUAUAUUCUGUUGAUUUGGGGUGGAGAGUUCUGUAGAUGUCUAUUAGGUUUGCUUGGUGCAGAGCUGAGUUCAGUUCCUGGAUAUCCUUGUUAACUUUCUGUCUGAUUGAUCUGUCUAAUGUUGACAGUGGGGUGUUACAGUCUGCCAUUAUUAUUGUGUGGGAGUCUAAGUCUCUUUGUAGGUCACUAAGGACUUGCUUUAUGAAUCUGGGUGCUCCUGUAUUGGGUGCAUACAUAUUUAGGAUAGUUAGCUCUUGUUGAAUUGAUCCCUUUACCAUUAUGUAAUGGCCUUCUUUGUCUCUUUUGAUCUUUGUUGGUUUAAAGUCUGUUUUAUCAGAGACUAGGAUUGCAACCCCUGCCCUUUUUUGUUUUCCAUUUGCUGGUAGAUCUUCCUCCAUCUCUUUAUUUUGAGCCUAUGUGUGUCUCUGCACGUGAGAUGGGUUUCCUGAAUACAGCACACUGAUGGGUCUUGAGUCUUUAUCCAAUUUGCCAGUCUGUGUCUUUUCAUUGGAGCAUUUAGCCCAUUUACAUUUAAAGUUAAUAUUGUUAUGUGUGAAUUUGAUCCUGUCAUUGUAACAAAAUCAGCAUUUGCUUGUCUGUAAAGGAUUUUACUUCUCCUUCACUUAUAAAGCUCAGUUUGGCUGGAUAUGAAAUUCUGGGUUGAAAGUUCUUUUCUUUAAGAAUGUUGAAUAUUGGUCCCCACUCUCUUCUGUCUUGUAGAGUUUCUGCCGAGAGAUCAGCUGUUAAUCUGAUGGGCUUCCCUUUGUGGGUAACCCGACCUUUCUCUCUGGCUGCCCUUAACAUUUUUUCCGUCAUUUCAACUUUGGUGAAUCUGACAAUUAUGUGUCUUGGAGUUGCUCUUCUUGAGGAGUAUCUUUGUGGUGUUCUCUGUAUUUCCUGAAUUUGAAAGUUGGCCUACCUUCCUAGAUUGGGGAAGUUCUCCUGGAUAAUAUCCUGCAGAGUGUUUUCCAACUUAGUUCCAUUCUCCCCGUCACUUU
RNAcentral lists this long non-coding RNA (1204 nucleotides) under Homo sapiens (human). RNAcentral describes it as "non-protein coding lnc-OR9A2-3:1". The record is from RNAcentral. Lineage: Eukaryota; Metazoa; Chordata; Mammalia; Primates; Hominidae.